RNAcentral lists this ribosomal RNA (257 nucleotides) under uncultured bacterium. RNAcentral describes it as "partial 16S ribosomal RNA". It matches the Rfam family "Bacterial small subunit ribosomal RNA", at positions 488 to 737 of the family's 1533-position model. The record is from RNAcentral.
AGCGCAGGCUAACUCUGUGCCAGCAGCCGCGGUAAUACAGAGGGUGCAAGCGUUAAUCGGAUUUACUGGGCGUAAAGCGCGCGUAGGCGGCUAAUUAAGUCAAAUGUGAAAUCCCCGAGCUUAACUUGGGAAUUGCAUUCGAUACUGGUUAGCUAGAGUGUGGGCAGAGGAUGUGUAGAAUUCCCAGGUAGUAGCGGUGAACAUGCGUAGAGAUCUGGGAGGAAUACCCGAUGGCGAAGGACAGCCAUCUGGACCUU